This 373-nucleotide ribosomal RNA is filed under the name uncultured organism. RNAcentral describes it as "bacterial SSU rRNA". It matches the Rfam family "Bacterial small subunit ribosomal RNA", at positions 527 to 896 of the family's 1533-position model. The record is from RNAcentral.
CGGGGGAGCAAGCGUUGUUCGGAGUUACUGGGCGUAAAGGGCGCGUAGGCGGCCAGCGCAAGUCAGUUGUGAAAUCUCCGGGCUUAACUCGGAAAGGUCAACUGAUACUGCGCGGCUAGAGUGCAGAAGGGGCAACUGGAAUUCUCGGUGUAGCGGUGAAAUGCGUAGAUAUCGAGAGGAACACCUGCGGCGAAGGCGGGUUGCUGGGCUGACACUGACGCUGAUGCGCGAAAGCCAGGGGAGCGAACGGGAUUAGAUACCCCGGUAGUCCUGGCCUUAAACGAUGGAUGCUUGGUGUCUGGAGUUUUAUAGUCUCCGGGUGCCGUAGCUAACGCGUUAAGCAUCCCGCCUGGGGAGUACGGUCGCAAGACUG